GUGACUUCACAGACCACUCUCUCUGACAGGUCUGCAGUGAAGAGAGCAAUUCCAACUUCUGCUAAUUGAGUUUGUAACAAGAAGAUGGAUCCAUUUUACUACCGCCCUCAGGACCUUAAUCAAACUCUGGGAAAGCUUGAAAGUCACCCCUUCCAAGCAGAGUUCUCAGAGGACCCCAGUUUCACUUCUGUUUUCCCUGGAGAAAAGACUGCUUGACAGAAUCAAGCCUUGCACGCCCUCUUAUUGAUCUCCUAUGGCCAUCAACAUUUCCAGCUAGGAAGGACAGCUCAAGGAAGAAACACACCUCAGUAUAUCUCCAGGCCUUCCAGACUUGGAACCGCAUGAGCAAUA
Molecule: long non-coding RNA, 351 nt
Organism: Suricata suricatta (meerkat)
Lineage: Eukaryota; Metazoa; Chordata; Mammalia; Carnivora; Herpestidae
Exons: 4
Source: RefSeq, a predicted model, not a curated record